UGUUAAUGUAGACGUACUCUCUAAAGGUUUCAAGAUAAAACCAAGCCAUUUUCCGGAUUUUGUUAAACAGUUUAUUGGAUCUACUGAUUUUGUUCUAGACAUUAAGCUGCCAAGUAUUGAUGUUUGUAUAUCCAAUACGGACUCUGCAUUUGAAAGUGAAUCUAUAGAUUCGCCAUCAACAGAACAUUUCGCAGCUGCUCAUCAAGCAAUAUCGUGCAUUGGAGAAGAAACAUUUUUAAAUUCCUCCCAAGACAUAAUUGUUUUCACCAGUGUGGACAUUUGCAAAGUCUUCCAUCAAAGCAGGAAAUUAGCGCCAUCCCUGAUAUUAACCAAUUCUUAAAUGUUAAAACAUUGGAAAAUAAGGACCGCAUUAAAAUUGCAAAGGCUUUAAUGGAAUUUAUUCUAAAUAAAACCCCAAACAGACAGUAUGUAUGUAUGUAUGUUUCUGUAUC
Long non-coding RNA from Musca domestica (house fly), 452 nucleotides. RefSeq lists it as uncharacterized. The record is from RefSeq and is a predicted model, not a curated record. The transcript has 3 exons. NCBI's taxonomy places the organism in Eukaryota, Metazoa, Arthropoda, Insecta, Diptera, Muscidae.